RNAcentral lists this ribosomal RNA (207 nucleotides) under Triticum aestivum (bread wheat). RNAcentral's name for it is "partial small subunit ribosomal RNA". The record is from RNAcentral. Lineage: Eukaryota; Viridiplantae; Streptophyta; Magnoliopsida; Poales; Poaceae.
AUGAGCAGUUUCAAACUUCACACAAGUAUCUUCCCUUGUACACAGAAGAAGUACAAUAUGGGCGACUGCAGGUACCUCCCCAGGGACACAGCUACUACCGUCACUGUUGAAAGAAUCACAGUUGUGCUGGAAGGUCCUUCCUGCUUGCUGUGUCUGCCUUCUCAUCUUAUUUAUGAUCGUUUAUGUGAAGAAGCAGCAGCAACUUGA